Long non-coding RNA from Styela clava, 613 nucleotides. RefSeq lists it as uncharacterized. NCBI's taxonomy places the organism in Eukaryota, Metazoa, Chordata, Ascidiacea, Stolidobranchia, Styelidae. The record is from RefSeq and is a predicted model, not a curated record.
GAUGGUUGAAUUAUUUUACCAUUUUCAAAAACUUGCAGAAUUACCGUGAAAGCAUUGCUUAACGCAAAAUAGGUAUAGACUGAACUAGGCUGGCAGCAUUUGAGAAGAAAACGGUAAAUGUGCUGUACACAUUACGAUUUUCUAUUCGUGUUGUUUCGGUCUAGAUUCAAAAUACAGAGUAAAAUUACUUUUUACCUUCCAAACCUUAGAUAUAUUUUAGGUCAUCUUAUAUAUAUAUAUAUAUCACCAAAUCUAAACGAAUUCUGAAGAAUGACGGGAACUUCACAAACACUCUUGAAACGUGCAGUUGUUUUUAUUUUUGUGAUGUUGUGGAUGGCUGUAGCUGUUGAAUCUAUUUGGGGACGUCGUGUCAAAACGUACAGAUCGUCGUCAAUCUACUUGUAAAGACCGGAAAAGAAAGAUGCCAAUAUAAACUGACAUUCACUUUUUUUAACAUUAAGAAAUGCCUGAUAAAAAUUGAAGAAACAUUUAGUAUUCCUGCACCAACUCAUACUAAAGUUUGUCCAAACUUACAAUCAUGUCAUUAUCAUAUAAUUUCCAAUCUAUAUUGCGUCUGAAUUGCUAAUUGAAAUAAAUGCUUUCUUAUUGUGAA